CAUUUCUAGCUUGCUAGAAGAUGACGAGCGGCGGACGGGUGAGUAAUACUUAGGAAUCUACCUAGUAGUGGGGGAUAGCACGGGGAAACUCGUAUUAAUACCGCAUACGACCUACGGGAGAAAGGGGGCAGUUUACUGCUCUCGCUAUUAGAUGAGCCUAAGUCGGAUUAGCUAGAUGGUGGGGUAAAGGCCUACCAUGGCGACGAUCUGUAGCUGGUCUGAGAGGAUGAUCAGCCACACCGGAACUGAGACACGGUCCGGACUCCUACGGGAGGCAGCAGUGGGGAAUAUUGGACAAUGGGGGAAACCCUGAUCCAGCCAUGCCGCGUGUGUGAAGAAGGCCUUUUGGUUGUAAAGCACUUUAAGCAGUGAAGAAGACUCCGUGGUUAAUACCCACGGACGAUGACAUUAGCUGCAGAAUAAGCACCGGCUAACUCUGUGCCAGCAGCCGCGGUAAUACAGAGGGUGCAAGCGUUAAUCGGAAUUACUGGGCGUAAAGGGAGCGUAGGUGGCUUGAUAAGUCAGAUGUGAAAUCCCCGGGCUUAACCUGGGAACUGCAUCUGAUACUGUUGAGCUAGAGUAGGUGAGAGGAAGGUAGAAUUCCAGGUGUAGCGGUGAAAUGCGUAGAGAUCUGGAGGAAUACCGAUGGCGAAGGCAGCCUUCUGGCAUCAUACUGACACUGAGGCUCGAAAGCGUGGGUAGCAAACAGGAUUAGAUACCCUGGUAGUCCACGCCGUAAACGAUGUCUACUAGUCGUUGGGUCCCUUGAGGACUUAGUGACGCAGCUAACGCAAUAAGUAGACCGCCUGGGGAGUACGGCCGCAAGGUUAAAACUCAAAUGAAUUGACGGGGGCCCGCACAAGCGGUGGAGCAUGUGGUUUAAUUCGAUGCAACGCGAAGAACCUUACCUGGUCUUGACAUAUCUAGAAUCCUGCAGAGAUGCGGGAGUGCCUUCGGGAAUUAGAAUACAGGUGCUGCAUGGCUGUCGUCAGCUCGUGUCGUGAGAUGUUGGGUUAAGUCCCGCAACGAGCGCAACCCUUUUCCUUAGUUACCAGCGGGUUAUGCCGGGAACUCUAAGGAUACUGCCAGUGACAAACUGGAGGAAGGCGGGGACGACGUCAAGUCAUCAUGGCCCUUACGACCAGGGCUACACACGUGCUACAAUGGUAGGUACAGAGGGCAGCUACACAGCGAUGUGAUGCGAAUCUCAAAAAGCCUAUCGUAGUCCAGAUUGGAGUCUGCAACUCGACUCCAUGAAGUAGGAAUCGCUAGUAAUCGCGGAUCAGAAUGCCGCGGUGAAUACGUUCCCGGGCCUUGUACACACCGCCCGUCACACCAUGGGAGUUGAUUGCACCAGAAGUGGAUAGC
RNAcentral lists this ribosomal RNA (1368 nucleotides) under Psychrobacter sp. 2EB11. Its description in RNAcentral is "bacterial SSU rRNA". It matches the Rfam family "Bacterial small subunit ribosomal RNA", at positions 70 to 1434 of the family's 1533-position model. The record is from RNAcentral. Lineage: Bacteria; Pseudomonadati; Pseudomonadota; Gammaproteobacteria; Moraxellales; Moraxellaceae. RNAcentral also lists the same sequence under 2 other names.